This 75-nucleotide transfer RNA is filed under the name Candidatus Berkelbacteria bacterium. RNAcentral's name for it is "tRNA-Val". It matches the Rfam family "tRNA". From Rfam's summary of the family: Transfer RNA (tRNA) molecules are approximately 80 nucleotides in length. Their secondary structure includes four short double-helical elements and three loops (D, anti-codon, and T loops). The record is from RNAcentral. Lineage: Bacteria; Candidatus Berkelbacteria.
GGGUGGCUAGCUCAAUGGUAGAGCAUCUCGUUUACAUCGAGGAGGUUACAGGUUCGAAUCCUGUGCUACCCACCA